CUAACCUUGCUCAAGCACACCAUGUUGUGUGUGUGUAAUAUAAAUUAACAACACCAUGUUGUGCUUGAGCAAGGUUAGGG
Eptesicus fuscus (big brown bat) is the source of this 80-nucleotide non-coding RNA. Lineage: Eukaryota; Metazoa; Chordata; Mammalia; Chiroptera; Vespertilionidae. The record is from RefSeq and is marked provisional.